This is an unclassified non-coding RNA of Cebus imitator (Panamanian white-faced capuchin), 241 nucleotides long. NCBI's taxonomy places the organism in Eukaryota, Metazoa, Chordata, Mammalia, Primates, Cebidae. The record is from Ensembl.
UCUUUGGAAGAAACUCUGAAGUAAAGGUGACAAGGUUCUUUGUUUAAAACAUUAAAAACAAAACAAAACAAAAUAUCAAGCAAGAAGUUUUCUGGCAACAAGCUAAGCACAGCAUUAUUUUUUCAGGAACACAAAUUAAAUGUUCAACUUGCGACAAAUUUGUACUUUCUCCCUGAAUUAUGUCGUUAUUAAAGAAAAAGAUUGGAAGAGGCUGAUAAAAUAUCAUCAGAACUGAAACUAG